RNAcentral lists this transfer RNA (68 nucleotides) under Archivesica gigas. Its description in RNAcentral is "tRNA-Ala". The record is from RNAcentral. Lineage: Eukaryota; Metazoa; Mollusca; Bivalvia; Venerida; Vesicomyidae.
AGGUGGAUUACUUUAAAUGUAGAAGGUUAAGUUUGCAACUUAGAUAGUGUGGUUUUCAUGUCCACUUG